CCUACGGGAGGCAGCAGUGAGGAAUAUUGCUCAAUGGACGAGAGUCUGAACCAGCCAAGUAGCGUGAAGGAUGACUGCCCUCUGGUUUGUAAACUUCUUCUAUAAAGGAAUAAAACGAGGCACGUGUGCCUUUUUGCAUGUACUUUAUGAAUAAGCAUCGGCUAACUCCGUGCCAGCAGCCGCGGUAAUACGGAGGAUCCGAGCGUUACCCGGAUUUACUGGGUUUAAAGGGAGCGUAGAUGGGUUGGUAAGUCAGUUGUGAAAGUUUGCGGCUUAACCGUGAAAUUGCAAUUGAUACUGGCAGGCUUGAGUACAGUUGAGGUAGGUGGAAUUCGAGGUGUAGCGGUGAAAUGCUUAGAGAUGACGAAGAACACCGAUGGCGAAGGCAGCUUACUAAACUGUGACUGACAUUGAUGCUCGAAAGUGUGGGUAGCAAACAGGAUUAGAUACCCCAGUAGUC
RNAcentral lists this ribosomal RNA (460 nucleotides) under uncultured bacterium. Its description in RNAcentral is "partial 16S ribosomal RNA". It matches the Rfam family "Bacterial small subunit ribosomal RNA", at positions 338 to 795 of the family's 1533-position model. The record is from RNAcentral.